UUUUUGGUUGGGGAUGGACUCGCGGCCUUUCAGCUUGUUGGUGAGGUAAUGGCUCACCAAGGCGACGACGGGUAGCCGGCCUGAGAGGGUGACCGGCCACACUGGGACUGAGACACGGCCCAGAUUCCUACGGGAGGCAGCAGUGGGGAAUAUUGCACAAUGGGCGAAAGCCUGAUGCAGCAACGCCGCGUGAGGGAUGACGGCCUUCGGGUUGUAAACCUCUUUUAGUAGGGAAGAAGCGAAAGUGACGGUACCUGCAGAAAAAGCACCGGCUAACUACGUGCCAGCAGCCGCGGUAAUACGUAGGGUGCAAGCGUUGUCCGGAAUUAUUGGGCGUAAAGAGCUCGUAGGCGGUUUGUCGCGUCUGCUGUGAAAUCCCGAGGCUCAACCUCGGGCUUGCAGUGGGUACGGGCAGACUAGAGUGCGGUAGGGGAGAUUGGAAUUCCUGGUGUAGCGGUGGAAUGCGCAGAUAUCAGGAGGAACACCGAUGGCGAAGGCAGAUCUCUGGGCCGUAACUGACGCUGAGGAGCGAAAGCGUGGGGAGCGAACAGGAUUAGAUACCCUGGUAGUCCACGCCGUAAACGUUGGGCGCUAGAUGUAGGGACCUUUCCACGGUUUCUGUGUCGUAGCUAACGCAUUAAGCGCCCCGCCUGGGGAGUACGGCCGCAAGGCUAAAACUCAAAGGAAUUGACGGGGGCCCGCACAAGCGGCGGAGCAUGCGGAUUAAUUCGAUGCAACGCGAAGAACCUUACCAAGGCUUGACAUACACCGGAAACGGCCAGAGAUGGUCGCCCCCUUGUGGUCGGUGUACAGGUGGUGCAUGGUUGUCGUCAGCUCGUGUCGUGAGAUGUUGGGUUAAGUCCCGCAACGAGCGCAACCCUCGUUCUAUGUUGCCAGCGCGUUAUGGCGGGGACUCAUAGGAGACUGCCGGGGUCAACUCGGAGGAAGGUGGGGAUGACGUCAAAUCAUCAUGCCCCUUAUGUCUUGGGCUUCACGCAUGCUACAAUGGCCGGUACAAAGGGCUGCGAUACCGUAAGGUGGAGCGAAUCCCAAAAAGCCGGUCUCAGUUCGGAUUGAGGUCUGCAACUCGACCUCAUGAAGUCGGAGUCGC
This 1111-nucleotide ribosomal RNA is filed under the name Curtobacterium oceanosedimentum. RNAcentral describes it as "bacterial SSU rRNA". It matches the Rfam family "Bacterial small subunit ribosomal RNA", at positions 212 to 1335 of the family's 1533-position model. Lineage: Bacteria; Bacillati; Actinomycetota; Actinomycetes; Micrococcales; Microbacteriaceae. The record is from RNAcentral.